AAACAUGGUUCUGUCAAGCA
Molecule: microRNA, 20 nt
Filed under: Ornithorhynchus anatinus (platypus)
Lineage: Eukaryota; Metazoa; Chordata; Mammalia; Monotremata; Ornithorhynchidae
Description: oan-miR-218-3p
Gene: oan-miR-218-3p
Source: miRBase by way of RNAcentral